Molecule: long non-coding RNA, 287 nt
Filed under: Olea europaea (common olive)
Lineage: Eukaryota; Viridiplantae; Streptophyta; Magnoliopsida; Lamiales; Oleaceae
Description: long non-coding RNA (OEUR_LNC009155)
Source: RNAcentral
GGAGACAGAGAUACAGAGCCAGCCCCAGUGACUGGGGAAAUAACUCCAUUUGCAUUCGCAACCCUGUUGCGUCGAGGUGAGGUCCUUUGAAUAAAAUCUCUUUCAUCAUAAGUCAUAUGGUCAGUUGCCCCGGAGUCAAGUAACCAUAAAUUAUUAUUCUUGUCACUGGAGGAUGUAACACAAGCUGAACCAAAAUUACCUGGUUCUGAUGAGGGGUCCGUAUCCUGAAAAUAAUCAUUUUCAGGAAUCAAAGAUAGUUGAGAGUCAGAUGUUGCUACGGCCGCCUU